RNAcentral lists this ribosomal RNA (714 nucleotides) under uncultured bacterium. Its description in RNAcentral is "bacterial SSU rRNA". It matches the Rfam family "Bacterial small subunit ribosomal RNA", at positions 9 to 734 of the family's 1533-position model. The record is from RNAcentral.
GAGUUUGAUCCUGGCUCAGGAUGAACGCUGGCGGCGUGCUUAACACAUGCAAGUCGAACGGGCUCAUAUUGAAACCUAGUGAUGUAUGAGUUAGUGGCGGACGGGUGAGUAACGCGUGGAGAACCUGCCGUAUACUGGGGGAUAACACUUAGAAAUAGGUGCUAAUACCGCAUAAGCGCACAGCUUCGCAUGAAGCAGUGUGAAAAACUCCGGUGGUAUACGAUGGAUCCGCGUCUGAUUAGCUGGUUGGCGGGGUAACAGCCCACCAAGGCGACGAUCAGUAGCCGGCCUGAGAGGGUGAACGGCCACAUUGGGACUGAGACACGGCCCAAACUCCUACGGGAGGCAGCAGUGGGGAAUAUUGCACAAUGGGGGAAACCCUGAUGCAGCGACGCCGCGUGAGUGAAGAAGUAUUUCGGUAUGUAAAGCUCUAUCAGCAGGGAAGAAAAUGACGGUACCUGACUAAGAAGCCCCGGCUAACUACGUGCCAGCAGCCGCGGUAAUACGUAGGGGGCAAGCGUUAUCCGGAUUUACUGGGUGUAAAGGGAGCGUAGACGGCAGCGCAAGUCUGAAGUGAAAUCCCAUGGCUUAACCAUGGAACUGCUUUGGAAACUGUGCAGCUAGAGUGCAGGAGAGGUAAGCGGAAUUCCUAGUGUAGCGGUGAAAUGCGUAGAUAUUAGGAGGAACACCAGUGGCGAAGGCGGCUUACUGGAC